UAGGGAAUCUUCCGCAAUGGACGCAAGUCUGACGGAGCAACGCCGCGUGAGUGAAGAAGGAUUUCGGUUCGUAAAACUCUGUUGUUAGAGAAGAACAGCGCAUAGAGUAACUGUUAUGCGUGUGACGGUAUCUAACCAGAAAGCCACGGCUAACUACGUGCCAGCAGCCGCGGUAAUACGUAGGUGGCAAGCGUUGUCCGGAUUUAUUGGGCGUAAAGCGAGCGCAGGCGGUCAAUUAAGUCUGAUGUGAAAGCCCCCGGCUCAACCGGGGAGGGUCAUUGGAAACUGGUUGACUUGAGUGCAGAAGAGGGGAGUGGAAUUCCAUGUGUAGCGGUGAAAUGCGUAGAUAUAUGGCGGAACACCAGUGGCGAAGGCGACUCUCUGGUCUGUAACUGACGCUGAGGCUCGAAAGCGUGGGUAGCAAACAGG
RNAcentral lists this ribosomal RNA (429 nucleotides) under Bacteroidota bacterium. Its description in RNAcentral is "Bacteroidetes bacterium partial 16S ribosomal RNA". It matches the Rfam family "Bacterial small subunit ribosomal RNA", at positions 355 to 776 of the family's 1533-position model. Lineage: Bacteria; Pseudomonadati; Bacteroidota. The record is from RNAcentral.